UAGAGGCAGACUGAGAAGGCC
Molecule: microRNA, 21 nt
Filed under: Picea abies (Norway spruce)
Lineage: Eukaryota; Viridiplantae; Streptophyta; Pinopsida; Pinales; Pinaceae
Description: pab-miR11487a
Source: miRBase by way of RNAcentral